This 253-nucleotide ribosomal RNA is filed under the name uncultured bacterium. RNAcentral describes it as "partial 16S ribosomal RNA". It matches the Rfam family "Bacterial small subunit ribosomal RNA", at positions 524 to 776 of the family's 1533-position model. The record is from RNAcentral.
UACAGAGGGUGCAAGCGUUAAUCGGAAUUACUGGGCGUAAAGCGUGCGUAGUCGGUUAUUUAAGUCGGAUGUGAAAUCCCCGGGCUCAACCUGGGAAUUGCAUUCGAUACUGGAUAGCUAGAGUUCGGCAGAGGGAAGCGGAAUUUCGGGUGUAGCGGUGAAAUGCGUAGAUAUCCGAAGGAACAUCAGUGGCGAAAGCGGCUUCCUGGACCAGAACUGACGAUCAGGCACGAAAGCGUGGGGAUCAAACAGG